RNAcentral lists this ribosomal RNA (485 nucleotides) under uncultured Akkermansia sp. Its description in RNAcentral is "bacterial SSU rRNA". It matches the Rfam family "Bacterial small subunit ribosomal RNA", at positions 190 to 698 of the family's 1533-position model. Lineage: Bacteria; Pseudomonadati; Verrucomicrobiota; Verrucomicrobiia; Verrucomicrobiales; Akkermansiaceae. The record is from RNAcentral.
UNNCCUCCCCGGGAAAGCCUUGACGGCGCGGGAUGGGGUCGCGGCCCAUUAGGUAGACGGCGGGGUAACGGCCCACCGUGCCCGCGAUGGGUAGCCGGACUGAGAGGUCGACCGGCCACAUUGGGACUGAGAUACGGCCCAGACUCCUACGGGAGGCAGCAGUGGGGAAUUUUGCGCAAUGGGGGAAACCCUGACGCAGCAACGCCGCGUGCGGGACGAAGGCCUUCGGGUUGUAAACCGCUUUCAGCAGGGAAGAUUCAGACGGUACCUGCAGAAGAAGCUCCGGCUAACUACGUGCCAGCAGCCGCGGUAAUACGUAGGGGGCGAGCGUUAUCCGGAUUCAUUGGGCGUAAAGCGCGCGUAGGCGGCCGCCUAAGCGGAACCUCUAAUCCCGGGGCUCAACCUCGGGCCGGGUUCCGGACUGGGCGGCUCGAGUGCGGUAGAGGCAGGCGGAAUUCACGGUGUAGCAAAUCACUAGUGAAUUC